GGCGCGGUGGUCCAGCGGUUAAGACGCCACAGGCUUUACCUGUCGGAGUCCCCGGUUCAACUCCGGGCCGCGCCG
Non-coding RNA from Microdochium trichocladiopsis, 75 nucleotides. Lineage: Eukaryota; Fungi; Ascomycota; Sordariomycetes; Xylariales; Microdochiaceae. The record is from the annotation of a RefSeq genome assembly.